AGCUUUGUGCAGUGGCAGUAUCGUAGCCAAUGAGGUUUAUCCGAGGCGCGAUUAUUGCUAAUAGAAUUCAUGUGUUAAAUCUUAACCCCCAAGGAGCUGGUAUUAGGAAGUGGGAUGUUUGGGGGAUGAUUAGGUCAU
Non-coding RNA from Canis lupus familiaris (dog), 138 nucleotides. NCBI's taxonomy places the organism in Eukaryota, Metazoa, Chordata, Mammalia, Carnivora, Canidae. The record is from Rfam.